This 898-nucleotide ribosomal RNA is filed under the name Cytospora desmazieri. RNAcentral's name for it is "LSU rRNA". It matches the Rfam family "Eukaryotic large subunit ribosomal RNA", at positions 38 to 966 of the family's 3401-position model. The record is from RNAcentral. Lineage: Eukaryota; Fungi; Ascomycota; Sordariomycetes; Diaporthales; Cytosporaceae.
GCAUAUCAAUAAGCGGAGGAAAAGAAACCAACAGGGAUUGCCCUAGUAACGGGCGAGUGAAGCGGCAACAGCUCAAAUUUGAAAAGCUGGCUCCGGCCCGCAUUGUAAUUUGCAGAGGAUGCUUCUGGCAAGGUGCCUUCCGAGUUCCCUGGAACGGGACGCCACAGAGGGUGAGAGCCCCGUAUGGAUGGACACCAAGCCUGUGUGAAGCUCCUUCAACGAGUCGAGUAGUUUGGGAAUGCUGCUCAAAAUGGGAGGUAAAUCUCUUCUAAAGCUAAAUACCGGCCAGAGACCGAUAGCGCACAAGUAGAGUGAUCGAAAGAUGAAAAGCACCUUGAAAAGGGGGUUAAACAGUACGUGAAAUUGUUGAAAGGGAAGCGCUUGUGACCAGACUUGUGCCGGGCGGCUCAUCAGGGGUUCUCCCCUGUGCACUCCGCCCGGCUCAGGCCAGCAUCGGUUCUCGUGGGAGGAUAAGAACGGUGGGAACGUGGCCCCCUCUCGGGGGGGUGUUAUAGCCCACCGUACGAUACUCUCGUGGGGACCGAGGUUCGCGCUCCGCAAGGAUGCUGGCGUAAUGGUCAUCAGCGACCCGUCUUGAAACACGGACCAAGGAGUCGUCCAUUAGAGCGAGCGUUUGGGUGUAAAACCCGCACGCGUAAUGAAAGUGAACGCAGGUGAGAGCUUCGGCGCAUCAUCGACCGAUCCUGAUGUCUUCGGAUGGAUUUGAGUAAGAGUUUUAACGGACGGACCCGAAAGACAGUGAACUAUGCUUGUAUAGGGUGAAGCCAGAGGAAACUCUGGUGGAGGCUCGCAGCGGUUCUGACGUGCAAAUCGAUCGUCAAAUAUGAGCAUGGGGGCGAAAGACUAAUCGAACUGUCUAGUAGCUGGAUACGCGAAG